This 97-nucleotide ribosomal RNA is filed under the name Bacillus velezensis. Lineage: Bacteria; Bacillati; Bacillota; Bacilli; Caryophanales; Bacillaceae. The record is from RNAcentral.
CGGAGAGGAGGUCACACCCGUUCCCAUGCCGAACACGGAAGUUAAGCUCUUCAGCGCCGAUGGUAGUCGGGGGUUUCCCCCUGUGAGAGUAGGACGC